GAUGAGUUGUAUACAAGUGUAUGAGUGAUUCAGAUGUUUCCAAAAUGGCCAUAAAAAUGUCGAUAGUGAGGAACGUUCUGGAAGUCCUGCAACCAGCAGAACUGAGAAAAACAUUGCAGAUGUGCGUGCAGCUA
This is a long non-coding RNA of Octopus sinensis (East Asian common octopus), 134 nucleotides long. RefSeq lists it as uncharacterized. The transcript has 3 exons. The record is from RefSeq and is a predicted model, not a curated record. Lineage: Eukaryota; Metazoa; Mollusca; Cephalopoda; Octopoda; Octopodidae.